UAGUGGCUAGGUAUUAGGGGCAGGUAAUAAGGGCUAGGUGUUAGGGGAAGGUAAUAAGGGCUAGGUAUUAGGGGAUAGGUAUUAGGGAAGCUAUUAGGGGCUAGGUAUUAGGGAAAGAUAUUUGGGGCUAGGUAUUAGGGGAUAGGUAUUAGGGGAAGGUAUUAGGGGAUACGUAUUAGGGGAAGGUAUUAGGGGCUAGGUAUUAGGGGAAGCUAUUAGGGGCUAGGUAUUAGGGAAAGAUAUUUGGGGCUAGGUAUUAGGGGCUAAGUCUUAGAGGCUAGGUAUUAGGGGAAGAUAUUAAGGGCUAGGUAUUAGUGGCUAGGAUUUAGGGGCGAAGUAUACCUCGGCAUGCUAGAGCAGCUGUAAGUUCUAUGGCAGAAUCUCAUUACCAUCCUAACAGCUUGCAGAUUCAUUUGCAUUUUUCCGUGAG
Oncorhynchus tshawytscha (Chinook salmon) is the source of this 430-nucleotide long non-coding RNA. Lineage: Eukaryota; Metazoa; Chordata; Actinopteri; Salmoniformes; Salmonidae. The record is from Ensembl.